This is a long non-coding RNA of Odocoileus virginianus texanus, 1175 nucleotides long. RefSeq lists it as uncharacterized. Lineage: Eukaryota; Metazoa; Chordata; Mammalia; Artiodactyla; Cervidae. The record is from RefSeq and is a predicted model, not a curated record.
GUUUGGCGGUCGAGGAGCCGCUGUGGAGGACGCGAGUUAUGCUUUGCGGGGGAUUUUGCCUCGUCUCCGUUACGAGUUGUUGACUGAGCGCGGCGCUAUGGUUUUUAACUUGCUUACCUUGUGGUCUUGGAAAACCUGAGGGAGGUUUUUAUGCGGCCACCUUCUCAGUGAGCUCCCCUUUCCACGCCGUCCGUCUGCCUCGGCCGGCGACGCGCCGUGCGUACCUCGGGUUUCCUCAGAGGCCGGAAUGGCUCAUUUUAUCCUCAUCUGCUGCGGCUCUGCGAUUGUCCCAACUUUGUCUUUACUUUUGUCUGACUCUGCUAUUCCACUUGCGCAGUGGACCCCACGGCACCGUAGAGCGCCAGAGAUUUGUGUUGGAUUGAACUUACCAGUUUGAUCUUGGAAGUUUAUGAUUCCUCGAAUCUCAGUUUCAUCACCUCUAAAGCCGUGUUGAUAAUACAUUCCACAUUUGCAGUGUGAUCAUAAAGUAAUUGCCAUAUAGAAAGCAGAAAAUAAUGGAUAAUGAUAAUAGCUAAAGCUUUGGCGUGCUUUUCAAAUGUCUCGAAUUUUCUCAAAUUCCUGGAAUGGUUCUGGCCUUGAAUAAGGACAAGAGAAACUCAAGUGGUAUCAAAGCACAUUCAACAAGGACAUGGCAGAGCCUUACACUGCUUAGUUCUUAUCUUUACCCUUUGCUUGAAAAAAUAUCACAAUCUUUAACCCAGUGACCCACAUUAGUAGAUUUUCUUCCAACAAUAAGUAAUGAUGUAUAAAAAUAGCCCUCCUGUCCCAGAGGAAAAAGAUUUUUUUUUUGAUAACUUUUUUUUUUUUUUUAAAUUUAAGAAAGGACAACUGUUCUCUUGAAAGGAGCCUGAAAAAGCCAACCGACAAUCCUCAGGCUGAUGUGUCCAGGCCUGAAUUCUUGCAAUGGAAUGCUGGUUGGAAAUAAAAUACACCACUUCCUGCUUGACCUAUAGCAAUCCCCCAAGUGUGCUCUUUGUACAUUUUCUUCAUCCGCUGAUUGGGAAGGACCCUAGAGACCAAAGAGAAACAAGAACUUGAAGACAGAAGAAGCUUGGAACAGAGCUUGCUGCCACUCCUUUGCCACCCCAUGAGAUGUAAGCAAGAAAUAACAUUUAUUUUGCUGCUUUGUGCCACAUGUGGGAUCCUAGUUCGCC